CAUCCCCCUGCUUGCUGCCCUGCUUCAUCCCAGAGCCUUUAUAAGUGGGAGGACAACUCAUCUUCUGCCUCGAACAUCACCUUCUUGUACACCUUGGAAUACCUGCACAGAGCAUCCCACUACCAGCUGGGCAAGCAUGAGAAUCCUUUUCUUCCUCGUCACUGUUCUCAUCUUCCUCUUCCAGGCUGCUUCUCCAGCAUACAGCCAGGAAGCUGCUGACACCUUAACUUGCAGGCAGAACAGGGGCUCCUGCUCCUUUGUUCCCUGCUCUGCUCCUCUGGUUGACAUCGGGACCUGCCGGGCUGGGAAGCUGAAAUGCUGCAAAUGGACACCCAGUUCCUAAAACUGACACCUCCCUGACCACACAAACAAGAUCUAUGAGCAUUUGAAACAUCUCCCAUCUUUUGACAUCAAUGGAUUCCAGGCUGGGUGCAAGCCUGGGGUUGCUUUCCAUAGGGGUGAAGACCAUUAGAAGCACAUAAAGAUCUGAGGAGGACUUCUUGUUCCCCAAAAAAGACAUUUGCUGUCCUAAUAAAAGCAUCUCAUUGUGUAAACCAC
Calypte anna (Anna's hummingbird) is the source of this 558-nucleotide long non-coding RNA. RefSeq lists it as uncharacterized. Lineage: Eukaryota; Metazoa; Chordata; Aves; Apodiformes; Trochilidae. The transcript is spliced from 3 exons. The record is from RefSeq and is a predicted model, not a curated record.